CAGUGAGGGUUCUGGCGGGUCUUGGCACUGGAAGAAUUCACAGAUGUGCAAUAUAUAAUCGUGGAUCUUGCAAUGCCAUCACUUGCUGGAUGCCGAUUCAUCAUGGAUAUCGUC
This 114-nucleotide microRNA precursor is filed under the name Polistes canadensis. RNAcentral's name for it is "microRNA pca-mir-263b precursor". Its record names the gene pca-mir-263b. The stretch from base 10 to 91 matches the Rfam family "mir-263 microRNA precursor family". Lineage: Eukaryota; Metazoa; Arthropoda; Insecta; Hymenoptera; Vespidae. The record is from miRBase by way of RNAcentral.